GCGAGCGGAGGGCGCGCUGGGUGAUGAGUUGCCGCAGGGGCAGGGGGCCGAGCAGUUGCUGCCGGCGCCUGGAGACUCUGACAUCUGGCGUCCCUAGGGGUCGAGGGACCCUCGGGAGGGCAGCAACGAGGACCGUGUGGCCGCUGCUUGUCCCUGUGAUCACCCUCUGUCCUCGCCAUUGGCGUGCGACGUCCGCCAUGGAAGCGCAUCGGGCCGCCACCGAGGCCUCCGGGCGCCGGGGCCCCGGCUCCCCGGAGCGAUGAGGGGGUAGGGGCGCCCCGCGGCCCGCCUGCCUCCCGCGCUCCGGCCGCCCCGGACAGAAGGAGGGUCGGGUGGGCGGUCGGUCAGCGCCGCCGUGCCCGCCCCGCCCCCUUGGGGCGCUGCCGAGGGGCGCCCGCCCGGCCGCUGAAGCCCGGGACGCGCCGCCCGCCCGCGCCCUCCGCCCCCCAAGAUGUGGCAGAACGUCGGGCUGACCCUGCUCGUGUUCGUGGCCACGCUGCUGAUCGUCCUGCUGCUGAUGGUGUGCGAGCACUCACUCUAAUGACAGGAAACAAUGUCUCCUGAACCCUAGAGGCUCCCUCACCCCCGAGAGUGCCCUGCUGCUCACGUCUGCUACUUCCCUCAGUCAGUGCACAGAGGAGUGACCUGUGCUGCGGCCUGGCCUGGAGGCUUUGAGCAGAAGUAUGACUGGAACCAGCCAGCACUGGCAGAGCCAUUGCAGCAGGGCGCCACGGACAUGGACCAAGGUGCUUUCCAACCUUCAGUCACCCUCCCUGUCAAGAGGUGGACCAGAUGCCCCCAGAAGCUGCAGCACUUGUGUCUAAGCAGCCUGAGGCCUGCGUCAGAUGCAGCCAUCCCAGAAUCGUUUGUUUCCUGCUGUCUCUGCGAGCUGGUCUCUCCUGCAUGUGUGACUUCCACAGUUGUUUUCCAGCCAGCCUGAAGCUGCAAACUUGCUGGGAGGCACAUACUAUCCAGACCCUGAGAAAUCAAGGGAGACAUCAGUAAAGCUAUGUGGAUUCCACCCCUCCAGCAGGACCUGAGGGUCUGGGAGCAGAGGCCAGAUGGACCCUUGAGUGAAGAGAAAUCUUCCCCAAGCCCAGAUGCCACCCACAUGUUGUGGCCUGUCCCGGCAGGCACCCUGCAAAAGUGGGUGGAGUACCUGGUGCCCACUGUCAUGCGUG
Cynocephalus volans (Philippine flying lemur) is the source of this 1181-nucleotide long non-coding RNA. RefSeq lists it as uncharacterized. The transcript is spliced from 7 exons. Lineage: Eukaryota; Metazoa; Chordata; Mammalia; Dermoptera; Cynocephalidae. The record is from RefSeq and is a predicted model, not a curated record.